This 388-nucleotide ribosomal RNA is filed under the name uncultured bacterium. Its description in RNAcentral is "bacterial SSU rRNA". It matches the Rfam family "Bacterial small subunit ribosomal RNA", at positions 29 to 409 of the family's 1533-position model. The record is from RNAcentral.
AACGAACGCUGGCGGCGCGCCUAAUACAUGCAAGUCGAGCGAGAAGACGUAGCAAUACGUUUGUAAAGCGGCGAACGGGUGAGGAAUACAUGGGUAACCUACCCUCGAGUGGGGAAUAACUAGCCGAAAGGUUAGCUAAUACCGCGUACGCUCCUUGGACUUCGGUUCAGGGAGGAAAGCGAUACCGUGGGUAUCGCGCUCUUGGAUGGGCUCAUGUCCUAUCAGCUUGUUGGUGAGGAACGGCUCACCAAGGCUUCGACGGGUAGCUGGUCUGAGAGGACGAUCAGCCACACUGGCACUGCGACACGGGCCAGACUCCUACGGGAGCAGCAGUAAGGAAUAUUGCGCAAUGGGCGAAAGCCUGACGCAGCGACGCCGCGUGGGGGAU